UGAGAAGUCCCUCAUUUGACCACAAAGUUU
Molecule: non-coding RNA, 30 nt
Filed under: Mus musculus (house mouse)
Lineage: Eukaryota; Metazoa; Chordata; Mammalia; Rodentia; Muridae
Also listed under: 1 other name
Source: RNAcentral